RNAcentral lists this ribosomal RNA (253 nucleotides) under uncultured bacterium. Its description in RNAcentral is "partial 16S ribosomal RNA". It matches the Rfam family "Bacterial small subunit ribosomal RNA", at positions 524 to 776 of the family's 1533-position model. The record is from RNAcentral.
UACGUAGGGGGCAAGCGUUGUCCGGAUUUAUUGGGCGUAAAGAGCUUGUAGGCGGCCAUACAGGUCCGUUGUGAAAACUGGAGGCUUAACCUCCAGACGUCGAUGGAAACCGUAUGGCUAGAGUCCGGAAGAGGAGAGUGGAAUUCCUGGUGUAGCGGUGAAAUGCGCAGAUAUCAGGAAGAACACCCGUGGCUAAGGCGGCUCUCUAGUACGGUACUGACGCUGAGACGCGAAAGCGUGGGGAGCGAACAGG